RNAcentral lists this ribosomal RNA (497 nucleotides) under uncultured bacterium. RNAcentral describes it as "partial 16S ribosomal RNA". It matches the Rfam family "Bacterial small subunit ribosomal RNA", at positions 28 to 507 of the family's 1533-position model. The record is from RNAcentral.
GAUGAACGCUGGCGGCGUGCCUAAUACAUGCAAGUCGAGCGAACAGACGAGGAGCUUGCUCCUCUGACGUUAGCGGCGGACGGGUGAGAAACACGUGGAUAACCUACCUAUAAGACUGGGAUAACUUCGGGAAACCGGAGCUAAUACCGGAUAAUAUAUUGAACCGCAUGGUUCAAUAGUGAAAGACGGUUUUGCUGUCACUUAUAGAUGGAUCCGCGCCGCAUUAGCUAGUUGGUAAGGUAACGGCUUACCAAGGCAACGAUGCGUAGCCGACCUGAGAGGGGGAUAGGCGACACGGGAGCUGAGACACGGUCCAGACGCCUACGGGAGGCAGCAGUAGGGAAUCUUCCGCAAUGGGCGAAAGCCUGACGGAGCAACGCCGCGUGAGUGAUGAAGGUCUUCGGAUCGUAAAACUCUGUUAUUAGGGAAGAACAAAUGUGUAAGUAAAUAUGCACGUCUUGACGGUACCUAAUCAGAAAGCCACGGCUAACUACGUG